CCCAGACUCCUACGGGAGGCAGCAGUGGGGAAUAUUGCACAAUGGGGGAAACCCUGAUGCAGCGACGCCGCGUGAAGGAAGAAGUAUCUCGGUAUGUAAACUUCUAUCAGCAGGGAAGAAAACAGACGGUGCCUGACUAAGAAGCCCCGGCUAACUACGUGCCAGCAGCCGCGGUAAUACGUAGGGGGCAAGCGUUAUCCGGAUUUACUGGGUGUAAAGGGGGCGCAGACGGCCAUGGCAAGCCCGGUGUGAAAGGCAGGGGCAUAACCCCUGGACUGCACUGGGAACUGUCAGGCUGGAGUGCCGGAGGGGUAAGCGGAAUUCCUGGUGUAGCGGUGAAAUGCGUAGAUAUCAGGAGGAACACCGGCGGCGAAGGCGGCUUACUGGACGGCAACUGACGUUGAGGCUCGAAGGCGUGGGGAGCAAACAGGAUUAGAUACCCGAGUACAU
This 450-nucleotide ribosomal RNA is filed under the name uncultured bacterium. Its description in RNAcentral is "bacterial SSU rRNA". It matches the Rfam family "Bacterial small subunit ribosomal RNA", at positions 330 to 798 of the family's 1533-position model. The record is from RNAcentral.